This 3196-nucleotide long non-coding RNA is filed under the name Triticum aestivum (bread wheat). RNAcentral's name for it is "long non-coding RNA (TAES_LNC017597)". The record is from RNAcentral. Lineage: Eukaryota; Viridiplantae; Streptophyta; Magnoliopsida; Poales; Poaceae.
GAUAAUAAGAAAAAUGAAAAGAAAAGAUAGAGAUAAUCUGCCGCAAUUGCACUUCGGUGUCAUGGAUUCAGUAUGCCGCUUCAACAUCUCAUUAUCCUGCAGCACUCUGUCGCUAUCUUCUACCUAUGAAUAAAAACAGACCUUACUUGUCAGAGAAGCAAAUGUGAAACCUUAUUACAACAUGUAUGCUACUUAUUACAACAUGUAUGCUAAGUCGCUAACCCAUAGAGACAGCUAGAACAAAUGUGAAAACUUUCCAUGUUGCCGAGUAAGUAUAUGAGCACCCCUCAAAACAUCAAUUAGCAAGUACUUGACACAUACAAACUUGUACAGAAAAAAUAACACUUCCGAAUUUAAUUGGCUUCAAAGAUUGCAAGGAAGGCAUACUGAUGAGCUGCAAUGCAAUCUUCAAUGUUCAGUACUUGUACACGCUAUGCUCCUGCGGUGCAACCCCUAGCUCAUGUGGCUUCACAAAGUCUACAUUGUAUAGGACAUUUUUUAGCAAAGGGUGAAACUGCAUACAUAUACAUCUCAAAUCAUAUGUAGUAUGUGUCUAGUCAUCCUACGAUUGCCCGAGCUUAGAACUGUAUUUCUUAUAAAAACUUUAGACAUGUUCAGGAAACACAUGUAGUUAACGACAAGUGUACAUAUCACCCAUUUUAUAGGUUCAAAGACAGAUAACAAAAAUUAACUAGACAAAGUUAGAUGACAGUGAAGUCUUCCUACUUAUAGUGGCAAGAAAAUCUUAUAUGAAUGUGUUAUAAUAAAUAAUGCUAACCAUGAAGUCUUCUUCCAUAUAACAAAGGAGUGAUGAAAACAAAAAACCUGUAAUUCAAGUACGACAUGCAGUUAGUUAAUUAUUUGCAUGUCAACAGUUCUAACGUCUAGCUACAGAUCUUCAAAGUAAAGAUUGUGAACUCUAUUAGACAUGACUAGAUCUUUAGUCGAAGCUCAAAAUAAAGUUUUAUUGGCACCAUGUACUACUUAAGAAGGACCAUACGCCCAACAAAAAUUAAUAUCCAUGAUUAUAGACAAUAUUAUAGUUACCUGAAUGAAGUUUUUCCUUUCAAAUCCAUCCAAAUUAAGUUGACACUACUGCAGUUAUCUGGCAGCGUGCAUGUGUUAUUUAAUUUAUAUAAAAGCUUCUGUCCACUAUUUAAUUGUGAAAUGAAGUAGUCAUACUAACUAUUGGUAAAUAAUAUAGUAAACUGGAGCCAAGAAAUCAUGAUGUUUUAAUCUGAAUAAGUACCGGUGCGACUAUAUUGCAGUUCUCUAGUCUUUAGCUACAGAAAUACUUAUCUACCACCAUGAAUAAUUGGCCUUGAUUCCUCUCUUUAUAUUAAAAACAUAUCCGAAGAAGACUUAGUAGUUUGUUGCCAACUUCACUGUACUGUAACAAACAAAGACAAGGUGAUAUAUUCAGUUCAAGAAAAAUCAAGAACUUCAGAAAGAACUAAGACUAACCGAUCACAAUAUAUAAAGCUCUUUAGCUUGGAUGUUUCUUAUGGUCCCAUUGCAUUACACUGCAUAACAAUUUGGGCAUCAUAAGAAGAACUACCAACUCCGAUCGCAUUUUUUUAAUGUAAACAGCAGAUUUAUUUUGGUGCCGCUGAAACACAGUUUUUUUUUCAUUUACUAUAUUUGCUUGCUUUAACGCAAAGCUACAUACAAACGCUGAGAUAAAAGGGAAACAAAAUUAUUUAGUUGUAUGUUACUCGAUUAUGCAACAACCUGACAUUGUUGUGCCUAUUUCUAGCAUCGUCAGUCACCUGCGGUUGGCCGUCACCACAACCUGCCAUUGUACCUUCGCUUGUUGCACUACUCCCCUGCAGCCGGUCGCUGCACUGUCGUGCCCUGCUAGUCGCCAUCUAGUUCCCUGCCAGUAUUCGCCUGGUGCUCAGCCUUGCAAGCCCUGUGUCUGCAUGUGCCCUGUGUCUGCAUGUGCCCGCAUAGCUGAUGGAGGACACGUCGCGGACAUGUCAAUUUUCAUCUUGACCUCCGAUGGUUUCAUCUACAUGAUGAAAUUAUUAGAUGUUAGAUUGUAGAACAAAGCUGGAGAGUGGUAAUAACAUGGAAUAUCUAUAUAUAAGGGCUAGCUAUAAUAUACUUGUUUGACACAACUCACACGCCAUUGGAUAAAGCAAAGUUCAACACCUACUAUCAUAUUCAGUUAUUCACUUCUUUUCUUUUACGAUUUAGCACGCAUCCACUCGAGCAGCCCCAAACUGUGUAAAAGCAACAAAUUUUAAUCAUAAUUCAUCCGAAAAUAUAUAAUGUUUAGCAAGAGCAAGCAGGAGCAUGUUUAGGCUACACUAUGGCCUAAAAGCAUCUUAUCAAAUUUAGGCUACACCAGUGGAUACAGGCUAGUCAAAUCAGACUCACCUAUUAACCGACUUGGACUACAAAUUCCUAAUCCUGGUAUUAUACUCCUACCAACGCAGCUAGAUAGCUAGGACAAGUCCUAGUCGGACUCAAGUUAGUAUUUUUCCUAAUAAUCUAAUUAUAGGCCACGUUGAUCACACCUUACUAAUUCUGGCCGGACACUAGUAACACAAGAAAAGCACAGGCACGAGGAAGUGAACCCUAGUGGGCAGGAUCUUGUGGUACUGGCAGAAUCGCUCGACCACGAACACCUGUCGCUGCGGCACUGUGGCCACGCCAAGGUGCGCUUGGGUCGACGGCGGAUCGGCGCCCGCGGCGGCUCCCCAGUACCAGCGGGGCACGGGCGCUUGGCCCUGCAGCACCGCCGGGUUGGGGUCCGGGCGGGCGGAGCGGAGGAGGCAGGAGGCGGAGGUGCGGCGCGCGUGGAUGCGCCGCAUCGCGCGGGUGGCCGCCGACAUCGACAUCGCCAUCGCCCAAUUCCCUCUCCGCGGCGGCGCUGGGUGGGGGAGUGGGUGACCUAGGAGCCUAGGAGCGUCCAGCGAGUGGGUGACCAGCGACAGCGAGUGGGUGAUCUGGGACUGGGAGGGAAGGUGCGGGCGACGGAUGCAGGGGAGAAGGAGAGGGAGAGGCUGGGGAUCGCCGGUGGGGAGGUCGCCGGGGUGGUGGGCGGCGGCGGCGGCGGCGGCGUGGGAUGGGAGGGAGACGAGGGUUGAAUCGGGAGAAGAGAGGAGGUGGAAGGGAUCUGGAUCGAGGGUUGGGUGUGUUUUUUUUUAGAGAAACAGUGGUGGGUGGAGUGGGAGGGUUGGUGGGGUGA